AAUUCGCAGCGGAUAGAAAUCAACCAACCACAAAACAUAUAAUGGUUUACAGGUAAAAAGGUUCAACAAUCAACAAUAAACAAUUAAAACAUCCCGUCCCGAUGUUACAUCUAUCAGAGCACGGCCCACUACGUAGACUACACUAGACUCCAUGCACUAGCUUCUACUCACUCACUGCUCGUUACCUGAAAAAUAGUUGUAAGGGUGAGUUCCUCAAUCGAUAUAAUAAGCAUUAUAAAUCAUCAUGUUAUGUUAAGUAAAUUUACACGUUAAUCACCCUAAUCAUAUCAUGCAUUCAGUAACGGCACAUCAACUCAAACAUCAUACUCAAUAACAACGUAAAAUGCAACUCAAUAACGACAUAAAUUGCAACUCAACAACAACAUAAAAUGCAACUCAAUAACGACAUAAAUUGCAACUCAACAACAACAUAAUGCAACUCAAAUGAGACUCGACUCGUCAUGCAUGUGUACCAUUCGGAGUAAAACUCCCAACUUAAAAUCAUUUCCAGUUUAGUGGGCAUCAAGGCAUAAGCCUUCAACUUUCAACUUAAAAUUUGCCAAUCCAGGCCAACGUGGUGUGAGCAAAGCUCCGAUUUUUGCCAAUCCAGGCCAACGUGGUGUGAGCAAAGCUCCGACUUAAUGCAUAUGAAUGUACAUGGCAUACACGACUUUAAAUUCCGACAACAUUAUAAUAACAGCAACACAACAAUGUUUUCAACAUAAUCAACUUAUAAUCAACGUUGGCUCAUCAAGCCUACAGCUCAGUAUUUUCAACAACUUAACACAACUUAUCAACAUAUUUAUAUCAACUCUUCAUAACAUAAACUCAACAAAAUUACUCAUCGAAAUCAACGAGAAUAUGCACAUCACCAUUAUGUUCACAACAUUAAAAUAUCAAAUUUUCCAAUUUCCAACAGUGUUAACCGGUUAACGCCCUGGGUUAACCGGUUAACGCAGGAAAAAAUACACUUUCUGGCAAAACGCAACAGUGUUAACCGGUUAACGCCCUGGGUUAACCGGUUAACGCAGGCAAAACAGCACAUUUUCACAAAUUAUAACAGUGUUAACCGGUUAACACCCUGGGUUAACCGGUUAACGCAGGCAAAACAGCAGUCCCUGCGCUAACACAAGGCAGAAUGCAGAGUUCUCCGCAUUUUCGCCGUUGGAGGACUUCCGGACCUCCGAUUCCAAUUCCGUAAAAAGCUAUACGUUCGGAAAUUCACAACUAACCCAAACACAUAUUCAAUUACAGCCUAAACACAGUUUCAUCCAACGUAAUUUUCCAGCAUUCAUAAUCCCAAUUAGGGUCAAUUCAACGGCUAUCACUACCCAUGACAUGUUAAUCUAUAAUACCCAUCAAACGACGAUAAACCCCCCUUACCUGAGUUAAUCCGGCAAAUCUUUGAGCUUCAAGCCUUUCCGUUCUUCAACCUCUGCUCUUGCUCUUCCCCUUUGCCCUUUUCCACUUUCUAUCGCUUCUCUGCUUUUUCACGUAAAACUCUUUACCAACAAUGAAACCCUUUCUUAUUCCAACUUAUAUAUUUUCCAAAAUAAUAAUAAUAAUAAUCCAAUAAUAUUUCCAAUUAAUUAAUUAAAUUAAUAAAUAUUAUAUUAAUUCAAAUUAAAUAAUUAGCCUUAUUUUAUCGGGGUGUUACAGGGUACAUGUAAAGUACAAGGGAGUGCAGGAAAUAAAUGGUCUCAUUGUCAGGUAGCCCAAGAGAAAGCCAUGUGUGUGAAAUUGUGUCCUAAACUAGAAAGCAUAUAAAAGAUUAUAAUUUAUCUUGAUUCUUGAACGCCCCUUCCAUGUUCGGGUUGAAUAUUUGUCCAAGACUUUUUGCAAGGGUCCUAACAACAAUCUCUAAGUCCAUUCCAAUGUCCAUUACAUGCUAAGGGAUUUAUCUUAUUUUUGUACUUUUUAAGUCUUAUCUAUUUUUUAUGUUCAUUUUAAGAUGAGAUGAGAAUGAUACAACAUGGAAUGUGAAGCGAAAUAAAAGCGAAUGAAUGACGGAAAUUAAAUGUUAGAAGUGAAAUUGUAAAAGCUAGAGGUGAAAAUUAAAGGUUAGAAGCAAAAAUUAAAGAAUUAGAAGUAGGUGUUAAAUGUUAGAUGUUAGAUCAAAGUAGAAAUUAUAAGAGAAUUAACUCUAAAACAAAUAACAAAAUAUUAAUUCUAAACUAUUAAUAAUAUUAAAUCUACACAAUUAAUCAACCAAUGAAAAUCUAACAAAACAAAAAUUAAUCCCAAACAAUUACCAAGUCAAUUCUAAAAUAUUAACAAAUUAUAAAUUCUAAACUGAUUAUCAACCAAUGAAUUCCACUAAUUAAAUUCUAAAACUAAUUCUAAAUCACCUUAAGAUUCUAAUUAAUAUUCAAAAAUUAAUGUAAACUAUCCUAAUUAUUAUCUAAACUAUCCUAAUUAUUAAACCGUAUUUUAAUUAACUAGAGGGGGUAACUAACAAAAAAACAAGAUGACUGGAUCCAACAAACAAAAUCGGGCCUGGAAUUGGAAGAACCAUGCCCAUUCGCAGGGGGAGGUGGGCAGGCCAACGGAGUGGUGCAGCCACAACUCGCUUUGGGCUUUGAAACGCAUGGGGCAAGAAGCCCAAUCCUGAAACCUCACGCCCAGGUUCAAUGCUAAGAAUACCGUAUGCUCAUCCGUGACUCAACAUGGAAGCGAACGAAUCGAUUGACUCCACUUCAAUCUUGCACAUACGCUAGGCAAAACGAAGAAUCACAAACGUGAAUCGAUCCUCUCGUAAAGAAUCUCACGAAAACAACUCCGGAUCCGUGCUUAUACUCGACCUCGAACCGCAAUUAAUCGAGAUCGAAAUUAUAUAACACUCUAUUCUUACGCAGGAAAUGAAAUCAAUUGAAGGAUGAAAUCGUACCCGACUCGUGUUGUGCGGUUCAGAAGACGAAGUGCGUCAUGGCCAAUGAUGCGUUGACGAUGAUUGAAAAUGGAGCGAAGCGUCUCGAUUCUGAAAAGGUAUUAUCGCGUCUCGUUCUUCUCUUUCUUCCUACUUUUUUUUUUAUUAUUUCUUCUUCUCCUAAGAAUCGCUUCU
Molecule: long non-coding RNA, 3061 nt
Filed under: Lathyrus oleraceus (garden pea)
Lineage: Eukaryota; Viridiplantae; Streptophyta; Magnoliopsida; Fabales; Fabaceae
Description: Pisum sativum (pea) long non-coding RNA (PSAT_LNC029917)
Source: RNAcentral